This 229-nucleotide long non-coding RNA is filed under the name Salvia miltiorrhiza (redroot sage). RNAcentral describes it as "long non-coding RNA (SMIL_LNC013831)". The record is from RNAcentral. Lineage: Eukaryota; Viridiplantae; Streptophyta; Magnoliopsida; Lamiales; Lamiaceae.
AUUAAUCAUCAUACAUAAUGCAAAUGCAAAUCAUGCACGCAUAUCCCGCCCAUUAAUUAAAAUCAAAUCAUAUCAUAUCAUGGUUGACUUUUCACAUAAGUAAACCAUCUUUGUCUUCUUCCGCUUGACUUGGUUCAUCAAAUAAACCACUUUCUUUUCUUCUUAAACCUAACCAUCUCCUCAUACCAUACACAUACACAAACAGAAAUGGGUAAGCCCACCGCAGCGC